UGUUUGAUGUUCUAACGUUGGCCCCUGAUCGGGGUUGCGGACAGUGUCUGGUGGGUAGUUUGACUGGGGCGGUCUCCUCCUAAAGAGUAACGGAGGAGCACGAAGGUUGGCUAAUCCUGGUCGGACAUCAGGAGGUUAGUGCAAUGGCAUAAGCCAGCUUGACUGCGAGCGUGACGGCGCGAGCAGGUGCGAAAGCAGGUCAUAGUGAUCCGGUGGUUCUGAAUGGAAGGGCCAUCGCUCAACGGAUAAAAGGUACUCCGGGGAUAACAGGCUGAUACCGCCCAAGAGUUCAUAUCGACGGCGGUGUUUGGCACCUCGAUGUCGGCUCAUCACAUCCUGGGGCUGAAGUAGGUCCCAAGGGUAUGGCUGUUCGCCAUUUAAAGUGGUACGCGAGCUGGGUUUAGAACGUCGUGAGACAGUUCGGUCCCUAUCUGCCGUGGGCGCUGGAGAACUGAGGGGGGCUGCUCCUAGUACGAGAGGACCGGAGUGGACGCAUCACUGGUGUUCGGGUUGUCAUGCCAAUGGCACUGCCCGGUAGC
This 539-nucleotide ribosomal RNA is filed under the name Escherichia coli. Its description in RNAcentral is "partial 23S ribosomal RNA". It matches the Rfam family "Bacterial large subunit ribosomal RNA", at positions 2211 to 2749 of the family's 2925-position model. The record is from RNAcentral. Lineage: Bacteria; Pseudomonadati; Pseudomonadota; Gammaproteobacteria; Enterobacterales; Enterobacteriaceae.